ACACAAAGGAAGUAUUUAUAGUAGUACAUAUGAAAUGGAAGCCCUUGGAUGAAGUGGCACGUGGCCUCAUCUUUUUAGUUCAAACAUCUUUUCCUAGGUAUGGGGUUUGACUUGCUAGCUUGCGGCGCAUUUAUUGCUUGUGCAGGGCCUCCAUGCUAGUGACAAGACUUGACCUUUAUGCUUAUGACAAACGUUCCAUCAAUCAUUCGAAUAAGAUCUAUGCAGGCGAUCUCUUGGGAGAAGUGACCAUGGAGGAUGUUUCCUUGUGGU
Molecule: long non-coding RNA, 270 nt
Filed under: Olea europaea (common olive)
Lineage: Eukaryota; Viridiplantae; Streptophyta; Magnoliopsida; Lamiales; Oleaceae
Description: long non-coding RNA (OEUR_LNC008040)
Source: RNAcentral